CUUACCUUGCAGGUGAACGAUGCUCGUCGUUUUUGCAGUCAAUGGAGCGUACGAACCAAUUUGUCACAAACAGUUUACUUAUAAUCUGGAAUUUUUUGUAAUAUCAGACGAAUUCUGGAUUUCGACAGAACGAUUUUUCUAAUAAUAUUUUCUAUCAAUAAAUCAUUGGAUCAAACAUAUUUAAUGCCAUAAGGGCGAAAGCUCUUCAAGUACAUUGUUAAAAUUUUACGCUCUUGCAAACUUUCUCGUCUCAUGAGGUUCGAUUUGCAAAUGAGGGAAAUACAACGAUUCAACGGCCACAGUUGAUUGAAGCAUGUUAUUUUGUUUUCAACUUUGAUUUGACCAAAUUGUUCAAAUGUAAAAUCUCAGAUAAAAUAUAAAUGAUUCACGCCGUCA
Molecule: long non-coding RNA, 396 nt
Organism: Aethina tumida (small hive beetle)
Lineage: Eukaryota; Metazoa; Arthropoda; Insecta; Coleoptera; Nitidulidae
Exons: 2
Source: RefSeq, a predicted model, not a curated record